Molecule: long non-coding RNA, 1430 nt
Filed under: Piliocolobus tephrosceles (Ugandan red Colobus)
Lineage: Eukaryota; Metazoa; Chordata; Mammalia; Primates; Cercopithecidae
Description: lncRNA (ENSPTEG00000038340.1)
Source: RNAcentral
ACCGUGAAGCCCCGCGCCCUCGGCAAGGCCACGCUUCGCCGGCCUGGGAAGCCAGGAGGCAGCGGAGCGCGGGUCUGGGGCACCGGGGACAUUGACAAGCAUAAUUGGGGUGCCAAACUGGGCUUCUUAAUAUCGAAGCCAGGAUGGGCGGGUGUGGCCGGGGGCGCGCGGGGUUAGCCAGCUUGGGGUGCUUUCCCUGUGGGCUCACACCGGCCGCGCGGACCCGCCGAGGCCGCGGGGCCUGCAAGUCCGUCGCCUCCUUUUGUUCUGGCCUCCGCUGUAAUUUAACAUAAAAUGCCUGUUAGAAUCACUGCUGCUUCUCCUUGUUUUGCCACCAGCUAACAGGAUUAGCCAACAAGAGCGAGAUUUCAAAUUAACCAUAAAAAUUACAAAUUGCAAUUCAUUUAGCUGCCCACUUACUACAUUAAAAAACAUAAAUAAAUGAAUCUGCGUAUUCAGAGGGUUGAAAGGCCCGCAAGGAAGCGAAAGCGGUUGAACUCAGGCCUCCGGGUCGGAGUCAGGGCUGUGGCGCUGGCGAGAGCGGGCCGCCGCGGAAUUGGCACCAUCUUCCGAGGGCCCAGAAAGAGGCAGCUUGGGUCAUUCGAGAAACCGAGGAGGAGGAAGGAAGCUGCGGGGCCCAAGCAUUUUUAGCACCUGUAUUCUCCCAGGGGAGGGACUGUGUGGGGGAAGAAGGGUGGGGCUCGGAGACAGGUCUGGGGGGAGAGCACUGGUUCCAAUUCGAGUUCGUCGGAAGGAAAGGCGAGAAAACCCAGCAAACGUGCUUUGCAAAAUUCUGGGGAGGGGGUGAUUCUCGUGUGGUGCCUCGUGUGUGAAGAAUAAGACGCUGGCGAAUUUUGCAGUGAAUUUAGAAGAGGCCCUGGCUAAAUUACUAAUUCCAGUCCAUUUGCAAGAGUCCUUGCCUUUUUUGUUUUGUUUUGUUUUUUUUAGGGAAGCAGGCCCUUCCCCUUGUGAAGCCGCCAUGAGCUUAAAACCCCGUUUGUGCAUUGGAGCUUUUCGAGUUACGGGUACUCAGAAAUCUACAGAUUUGUUUCUAGAGUUUUCGUUCCUAAACCGGCUGGUCACGGACACACGCUUUCGUCUCUCUGCAGCGGGGACGAGAACCCCCGAGGGGAUGUGGAGUUGCCCCCGCAGCGCGCGGUCGGCAGGGGGCGCGCUGGGACACCCUGGCCGCGCCCACUCCAGCCCAGACGGCCUCGCGUUAGGGCCGCGUGGGGGAAGCUCCAGCUUCUCUCCCCGGGAGAAGCGGCCCCGCAAGUCGGCCUGAGACCGCGGGUUUCUACCGGACAACGUGGGCAUCUGCCCGGGGACUUCCCUGAAAUGGAGGAAUGCGCGCCCCCAGGGAGCGCCGGAGGCCCAGGGAGCGCCGCAGCACCUGCAGCCUGGGGCGGCGUGAGGGCGGGGCCGGGGCG